AUUGAACGCUGGCGGCAUGCUUUACACAUGCAAGUCGAACGGCAGCACGGAAGAGCUUGCUCUUUUGGUGGCGAGUGGCGAACGGGUGAGUAAUGCAUCGGAACGUACCGAGUAGUGGGGGAUAACUGUCCGAAAGGAUGGCUAAUACCGCAUACGCUUUGAGAAGGAAAGCGGGGGCUCUUAGGACCUCGCGCUAUCUGAGCGGCCGAUGUCUGAUUAGCUAGUUGGUGGGGUAAAGGCCUACCAAGGCGACGAUCAGUAGCGGGUCUGAGAGGAUGAUCCGCCACACUGGGACUGAGACACGGCCCAGACUCCUACGGGAGGCAGCAGUGGGGAAUUUUGGACAAUGGGGGCAACCCUGAUCCAGCCAUGCCGCGUGUCUGAAGAAGGCCUUCGGGUUGUAAAGGACUUUUGUCAGGGAAGAAAGGAUUUGUGCUAAUACCACGAAUAUAUGACGGUACCUGAAGAAUAAGCACCGGCUAACUACGUGCCAGCAGCCGCGGUAAUACGUAGGGUGCGAGUGUUAAUCGGAAUUACUGGGCGUAAAGCGGGCGCAGACGGUUACUUAAGUCAGAUGUGAAAUCCCCGGGCUCAACCUGGGAACUGCGUUUGAAACUGGGUAGCUAGAGUAUGUCAGAGGGGGGUAGAAUUCCACGUGUAGCAGUGAAAUGCGUAGAGAUGUGGAGGAAUACCGAUGGCGAAGGCAGCCCCCUGGGAUAAUACUGACGUUCAUGCCCGAAAGCGUGGGUAGCAAACAGGAUUAGAUACCCUGGUAGUCCACGCCCUAAACGAUGUCAAUUAGCUGUUGGGGCACUUGAUGCCUUAGUAGCGUAGCUAACGCGUGAAAUUGACCGCCUGGGGAGUACGGUCGCAAGAUUAAAACUCAAAGGAAUUGACGGGGACCCGCACAAGCGGUGGAUGAUGUGGAUUAAUUCGAUGCAACGCGAAGAACCUUACCUGGUCUUGACAUGUACGGAAUCCUCCAGAGACGGAGGAGUGCCUUCGGGAGCCGUAACACAGGUGCUGCAUGGCUGUCGUCAGCUCGUGUCGUGAGAUGUUGGGUUAAGUCCCGCAACAAGCGCAACCCUUGUCAUUAGUUGCCAUCAUUAAGUUGGGCACUCUAAUGAGACUGCCGGUGACAAGCCGGAGGAAGGUGGGGAUGACGUCAAGUCCUCAUGGCCCUUAUGACCAGGGCUUCACACGUCAUACAAUGGUCGGUACAGAGGGUAGCCAAGCCGCGAGGUGGAGCCAAUCUCAUAAAACCGAUCGUAGUCCGGAUUGCACUCUGCAACUCGAGUGCAUGAAGUCGGAAUCGCUAGUAAUCGCAGGUCAGCAUACUGCGGUGAAUACGUUCCCGGGUCU
Molecule: ribosomal RNA, 1362 nt
Filed under: uncultured bacterium
Lineage: Bacteria
Description: partial 16S ribosomal RNA
Rfam family: Bacterial small subunit ribosomal RNA
Source: RNAcentral